CCCUUAGAUGUUCUGGGCCGCACGCGUGCUACACUGAGUGGAUCAGCGGGUCAGGUUACGCGAGAGCGUUUCCCAAUCUUCAAAUCCGCUCGUGAUGGGGAUUGACGGUUGCAAUUUUCCGUCAUGAACGAGGAAUACCUUGUAAGCGCGGGUCAUCAUCCCGCGCUGAAUACGUCCCUGCCCUUUGUACACACCGCCCGUCGCUCCUACCGAUUGAGUGGUCCGGUGAGGCUUUGGGAUCUAAGCGAAAAGAGCGUUUCGCUCCUUUUGCUGGGAGAACUCAGUCGAACCUUAUCAUUUAGAGGAAGGAGAAGUCGUAACA
Molecule: ribosomal RNA, 322 nt
Filed under: uncultured eukaryote
Lineage: Eukaryota
Description: partial 18S ribosomal RNA
Rfam family: Eukaryotic small subunit ribosomal RNA
Source: RNAcentral